GCCAGUUUAGCUCAGUUGGUAGAGCAAUGCUUUCGUAAAGCAGAGGUCCCGAGUUCGACUCUCGGAACUGGCUCCA
This 76-nucleotide transfer RNA is filed under the name Patescibacteria group bacterium. Its description in RNAcentral is "tRNA-Thr". It matches the Rfam family "tRNA". From Rfam's summary of the family: Transfer RNA (tRNA) molecules are approximately 80 nucleotides in length. Their secondary structure includes four short double-helical elements and three loops (D, anti-codon, and T loops). The record is from RNAcentral.